CUAGACUGUAUGAUGCAAGUUAUUACGGAUGUAAAGAGUCACAGACUCACUUGUCCGAGAGCGCAAAAACCUCGUGUGGAUGAUUCCGUUGCCUUCCUUCUGACUUAAAUUUU
This 113-nucleotide small nucleolar RNA is filed under the name Serpula lacrymans var. lacrymans S7.3. RNAcentral describes it as "Small nucleolar RNA Z13/snr52". It matches the Rfam family "Small nucleolar RNA Z13/snr52". From Rfam's summary of the family: Z13 or snr52 is a member of the C/D class of snoRNA which contain the C (UGAUGA) and D (CUGA) box motifs. Most of the members of the box C/D family function in directing site-specific 2'-O-methylation of substrate RNAs. Lineage: Eukaryota; Fungi; Basidiomycota; Agaricomycetes; Boletales; Serpulaceae. The record is from Rfam by way of RNAcentral.